RNAcentral lists this ribosomal RNA (428 nucleotides) under uncultured bacterium. RNAcentral's name for it is "bacterial SSU rRNA". It matches the Rfam family "Bacterial small subunit ribosomal RNA", at positions 355 to 775 of the family's 1533-position model. The record is from RNAcentral.
UGGGGAAUCUUCCGCAAUGGACGGAAGUCUGACGGAGCAACGCCGCGUGAGUGAUGAAGGUCUUCGGAUUGUAAAGCUCUGUUAAUCGGGACGAAAGAGCCUAGUGUGAAUAAUGCUAGGAAGUGACGGUACCGGAAUAGAAAGCCACGGCUAACUACGUGCCAGCAGCCGCGGUAAUACGUAGGUGGCAAGCGUUGUCCGGAAUUAUUGGGCGUAAAGCGCGCGCAGGCGGAUCUGCCAGUCUGUCUUAAAAGUUCGGGGCUUAACCCCGUGAUGGGAUGGAAACUACAGAUCUAGAGUAUCGGAGAGGAAAGUGGAAUUCCUAGUGUAGCGGUGAAAUGCGUAGAUAUUAGGAAGAACACCAGUGGCGAAGGCGACUUUCUGGACGAAAACUGACGCUGAGGCGCGAAAGCCAGGGGAGCGAACGG